Molecule: regulatory RNA element, 100 nt
Organism: Candidatus Desulforudis audaxviator MP104C
Lineage: Bacteria; Bacillati; Bacillota; Clostridia; Thermoanaerobacterales; Desulforudaceae
Rfam family: pan motif
Source: Rfam
CGGGUAGUAUCCCAGGAGGGAACUACACCUGAUCCUUUUUGACUCAAACAACUGAAGAGAGCGAUGGCCGCUUGGAGCCGUUCAGGACCGAGACGGUGGA